This is a long non-coding RNA of Ceratina calcarata, 3753 nucleotides long. RefSeq lists it as uncharacterized. The record is from RefSeq and is a predicted model, not a curated record. Lineage: Eukaryota; Metazoa; Arthropoda; Insecta; Hymenoptera; Apidae. The transcript is spliced from 4 exons.
GGAACCCCGUCCUCGGAACAAGAAAGCUGCUUGUGCCUGCUUGCCUGCCUUGCCGCCUGCCUGCUAGCCACAGCCAGCCACCCCAAGUUCCCUUCUAGAUAGAUUUUCACCAACGGCACCUCCGCCUUGGCCGGUUAAACAUGUACACAUCCAGACACCCGGAAGACGAGCGGCAACCUACGUAUAUGGACUGGCCCCUGACUGUGAAAUGGAUCGAAGAUUAGAGGAUCGCGAGGAAUGAGUGUUAGAAAUCAUUUCUCAAGGAUCACCCGGUAUACGCGCAGGCCGAUCUGUCCGCGUAAUAUUAUAGUCCGGGAUGGGAACGGGACCGAGCAGUGAAAUUUAUUGAAUAAAUGAAGGUCAAGCGGCAAAAGAGAGGCCGGGAUUCUGUCGUGACGCAGAAAAAUCAAAUUAAACAGCCGCUUUUAAGUUGAAUUAAAACGAAUGCGCUUAAUUAAAGCGGCCUCCGCCGCUCAACUAACUAAAGGAGUUUUAUUGACGGCGACCGACUCUCCUUUGUCGGUCCCACCGUGUACCCUUUCAUUAUUACGUUAAAAGAUGCCCUCGCCUUUUUGGUUUUGUCGCAAAUAACCCGCGAUUUUUCUCGACGUUAAGGGUUGUCCCAUUUCUUACGGUUUUUCACCAGAUCCCUUCUCCGCAGCUCAAUUUCACAGUUUUGAAGCUUUUCCUGAACUUUACUGUAACUGGCACGAUUAUUUAUUGCGAGAGACUCAAAAGUGAAAGGUAAGAACUUACAUUAGAAUAAGUAUAGAAUCGUGAAGCAUCGAAACAAAGUAAAGUGAUCGACGCUCUUCAGGUGUCAGUAGAAGUGAAGUGUCGAUAUUUUGGUGUUGAAAAGAGCAAUGCUCACUUUUCCUAAGAGCUAAUCUAAUUCCUGUACAGGCUUGGAAAGUGAGCCAGGAAUGGCGCCAGGAUUAAACCGAUCAAUCCGUGUAACGAGUUUACGAUCCGACGUUUAUCGGUCAGAAAAACGAGCAUGCCCGUGACAAAAGGAGUCAUAACGGAACCCGCGUUCGCCAGGCCGAGCAACGACGAGCGCGUUAACGGUGUUCGAGGUUUCACCGCGCUAAAUACACACCCGACACGUUUUCGCCUCUCACUCUCGUCGCGUUAACGUCGAUCCUCUUUUGUACGCUCUCCUCUCCUUCACGCCGCUCCUCUCCACGCCCGAGAGGCACAUCAAUCGCGAUGAAAGGAGAGGGACCGCGCGAUUCAGCGAAAACCGAAAAAGGAUCGACGGGAACGAGAGAAGGACGGACGGAUUAGAUGGGGAAGCUUCCCCCUGUUCACUGUGGGAAUUUCUAAUUGCACGCCAAUGUCCUGGUUACGGUUAGGGGAUUUUUCUCUGGGGGAUGCCGGGAACCGAUUGUCUAUUAGGACACCGUGGAUUAUUCAGGAAUCGCAAUUUCUCUUUUGCCACAUGGGCCGCUAUAGGAUCUCUUAUUGCAUUUCAAACUGUUGAUUUUAUUUAGGACAGAACCGUACCAAAUCCUAUUUUAUAGAAUUGACAAUUCGCGUUCGAACUAUUCAACUGCGACCAUUCUGUUCAUCUCUCGUUGCAAAUUGACUAUUCUGUCAUUCUCUCGGAGCAGCAUACACUCUUCUAGUAUUAAACGGUCAUUAAUUAUUCUCCAUCCCUUUUAUCCACCGCCGCGAUCCUAACAGUCGCAAGCGAGACGGUACAAGCCGAAUCCGUUCGUCGAUGGUGAUCAAGAGGAGGACGAAACUCGCCGGGCCGGUGCCAGCUGAUUUAACUCCGUCCCGCCGGGGAACAAUGAGACGGCUACGUCGAAAACCGUGGUUAUUUAAUACAGAUAUUUUUCAUAAGUCGCAUUGUGUGCAAAUAAACAGGCGAGGAGCAAGUACCUAUACAUAAGUGCGCGAGGAAACGGUCUUCCGAUGCGCGUUCACGCGACUGGCUAAGCUCCUCUCCUCUGCCGUUCGUAAUUCGCAACGCGCGCGGCGUACACGCCGCGAGGCGCGCCGCGUGUUAAUAAAUCUCGUGAGAUCUUCUGGCCUGCGCGGUGAGAAAGAGAGAGAGAGAGAGAGAGAGAGAGAGAUAGAGUGAGAAGGAGGGUGGGAGGAAGAAGAGAAAGGACGACGACGCGGCGAGAAAACGAGCAAAGAGGAAAACACGGAGGAGAAAGAAACGAGCGGACGGACCUCGCCGCACACGAAGGGCGCGCGAAAUUUCUUCUGCUUCGUCUUCCGUAUAUACUCUUCGGUUAAACCGAGUUUCGAAUUUCCUUGUUUACCUAAAUCGACACAAGCAUUCUUCUACAGCAAACAAAAAGAGUACAGGGAAAUUAUUAGAAGUAAUAGUAGCAUCUCUUGUCAAAUUGGUGUACAAGUCAGAGUGAUCGAUUUCCAACUUUGUAGAAAAAUUGUAUCGUUAUUUUAUAGAAGCUCUUUAUUUAUAAAUUCACUUAGUAAACAAAUUGACUAUUAUCUACGUUUAAUUGUAAAAAUAAUACGUUGUUCAAGGAGCGGUCAUUUUGACCGGAAGGAGAAAAGUGCCGGUAGGUUUAGUGUUAAAAAUCAUCAUAAAUACGAUGAGCUAUGAGUCGCUUCUUUACAAAAAUUGUUUUAUGAUCGGUGUGCGUGACAAUUUAAAGGAAACGGGUAUCUAUGCUUUUUUCCGCGUGAGAACACGUGAGGAACGAUUGUCUUUAAACCCGUCCCGGGAUGAUUCGCAGAUUCCUGGGUGAGUGACAUGUGUCACAAGGUGUGUCGAACCCUUAUUUAGCGUUGCAUCAAAAGCUAGCCCACUUCCAGUCACACGCAUGUACGUCUACAGACACACAUACGUAAUCUGUAGUAGUCUGGCCCCCCUCAUUGUCAGUCUUUCUAAUACGGACCGCGCGUACGAUCGAAUUUACUUUUUUUUUCUCUCUCUCCUUUCUCUCUACUCUCCGAGUUUUUUUUAUAUACGUUCUUCCUCUUCUUUGACGUACAGAAGAGGGAACGGAGAGGAUUCCCGGACACAAUGCGACGUAAUUGGAAGUCACCGGAUGCUGAGAAUUGGCCGUUUCCCAUGAUUCGUGAAUUUAUAGGUGCUCGAGACCCGCUGCGCUACGAUCCGCUCUACUGUUUUAAAUUUUCGAACAGUUUCCAUUUCCAAUGAACGUGACUGUGGCGAACCUCACGCAGCAUUGGUAAAACAAUUGUUUUGUUAUAUUUUAUUUGAUCAUAGAUUUAUAGAGAUAUUACAUCUCUAUAAAAUAGAUAAAUAAAUAGAAAGGUAGCAUAAGUCUAUGGAUUUGGCUCAUUCAUAUUUGAUGUAAUCUCGUGUUGUAAAUUUCUAUACAUAUUACACUUAGCAUAUCAGGGAUUAUCUUGUUCUCCAAGAGAUCAAAUUGUGCAUUGUGUGACAUGUACGCAUCAUAAAACAUGUAGAAAUAAUAAUAAAUAUUGAUGAGACUGGAAUUUAUAAAAUUUACUAUUCUUCCAAAUUUAAAAAUUUUUUGCAAACCACGUUUUUUCGUCUGUACAACGUUAAGUGGAACACGCGAUUUAACUCGUUUGCAUCGAUACAAAUUGGCUACACGAUACGAUCGUCACGGUUGAAGGCGCCUUGGCUUUCCCUCCCGAACUCGAAAUAGCGUCGAUCAGCGUUCGAACGGUAGCGCGGUAGCAGUGAUCGUGAAUAGCGAUGCCAGCAACCCUCGGGACACCCUCGACAAAUAAGUACAAACGGUGCAAAGUGCCCGCCCCGUUUCCACCGUUUAUUGG